AUUUGAAAUCUGGCCUCUUUGGGGUCCGAGUUGUAAUUUGUAGAGGAUGUUUCGGGUACCGCCUCGGUUUAAAUUUCUUGGAACAGAAUGUCAGAGAGGGUGAGAAUCCCGUCUUGGACCGGCGGUAGGGCCCAUGUGAAACUCCUUCGACGAGUCGAGUUGUUUGGGAAUGCAGCUCAAAAUGGGUGGUAAAUUUCAUCUAAAGCUAAAUAUUGGCCAGAGACCGAUAGCGCACAAGUAGAGUGAUCGAAAGAUGAAAAGCACUUUGAAAAGAGAGUUAAACAGUAUGUGAAAUUGUUGAAAGGGAAGCGCUUACAACCAGACUUGAGCGCGGCGGUUCCCCCUUCCUUUUGGUUGGGUUACUCCGCCGUGUCCAGGCCAACAUCGGUUCUGGGGGUCGGUCAAAGGCUUUGGGAAUGUACCUACCCUUCGGGCGUAGACUUAUAGCCCAGAGUGUCAUGCGGCCUCCCGGGACCGAGGAACGCGCUUCGGCUCGGAUGUUGGCGUAAUGGUUGUCAGCGACCCGUCUUGAAACACGGACCAAGGAGUCUAACAUCUAUGCGAGUGUUUGGGUGUCAAACCCGGAACGCGAAAUGAAAGUGAACGGAGGUAGGAAGCCGUGAGGCUGCACUAUCGACCGAUCCUGAUGUCUUCGGAUGGAUUUGAGUAAGAGCAUAGCUGUUGGGACCCGAAAGAUGGUGAACUAUGCCUGAAUAGGGUGAAGCCAGAGGAAACUCUGGUGGAGGCUCGCAGCGGUUCUGACGUGCAAAUCGAUCGUCAAAUUUAGGUAUAGGGGCGAAAGACUAAUCGAACCAUCUGGUAGCUGGUUCCUGCCGAAGUUUCCCUCAGGAUAGCAGUAACGUUUU
This 866-nucleotide ribosomal RNA is filed under the name Minimelanolocus submersus. Its description in RNAcentral is "eukaryotic LSU rRNA". It matches the Rfam family "Eukaryotic large subunit ribosomal RNA", at positions 113 to 993 of the family's 3401-position model. Lineage: Eukaryota; Fungi; Ascomycota; Eurotiomycetes; Chaetothyriales; Herpotrichiellaceae. The record is from RNAcentral.